AACGAACGCUGGCGGCAUGCCUAACACAUGCAAGUCGAACGAGACCUUCGGGUCUAGUGGCGCACGGGUGCGUAACGCGUGGGAACCUGCCCUUAGGUUCGGAAUAACUCCCCGAAAGGGGUGCUAAUACCGGAUAAUGUCUUCGGACCAAAGAUUUAUCGCCUUUGGAUGGGCCCGCGUUGGAUUAGCUAGUUGGUAGGGUAAAAGCCUACCAAGGCGACGAUCCAUAGCUGGUCUGAGAGGAUGAUCAGCCACACUGGGACUGAGACACGGCCCAGACUCCUACGGGAGGCAGCAGUGGGGAAUAUUGGACAAUGGGCGAAAGCCUGAUCCAGCAAUGCCGCGUGAGUGAUGAAGGCCUUAGGGUUGUAAAGCUCUUUUACCCGGGAUGAAAUGACAGUACCGGGAGAAUAAGCGCCGGCUAACUCCGUG
RNAcentral lists this ribosomal RNA (432 nucleotides) under uncultured bacterium. RNAcentral describes it as "partial 16S ribosomal RNA". It matches the Rfam family "Bacterial small subunit ribosomal RNA", at positions 29 to 507 of the family's 1533-position model. The record is from RNAcentral.